UUAAUUAGAAAAAAUUGAUAUUGAUAUAAAUAUUAAAUAGAGUUAAUAUUUCGCUCGGGCGCCAAUUGAAUAAACCUCAACGGAUGUGAACACAUAUUUCGCAUUAAAAAUUGUCAUCGUUAUAAUUUAGCUCAUUUGCAAAGCAGUAAAAACCGAAAAAAGUUUGGCAACAAUGCAAAGUUUCUUGAAAAAGCCAUACAACACCUUGAACAAGCAAAAUAAUCGGAAACUAUGCGUGAUGAAGCUGACGUAUUUGGUGAAUCAUGGACAAUUUUAUUAAGGAAAUUACAGUGAAGCAAAAAGAAAACUUGUACAGAGAGAUAUUUUGACUUUGAAGCUUAUAAGCUGCAACCAAGAGUAACAGUAUGGUAAUUUUAUGUAUUUUUAUACAAAUUUUAACAAUAACUCAGUUUUGAUGUUAACGAUUGCAAAAAAAUAAAAUAUCUAUAUUUGAGCUGCCAAUAAAAAUAAAAACUUGUACGUUGACAGCACUUAAAAGGCAGUUAUCAAGAA
Molecule: non-coding RNA, 513 nt
Organism: Bactrocera oleae (olive fruit fly)
Lineage: Eukaryota; Metazoa; Arthropoda; Insecta; Diptera; Tephritidae
Source: RefSeq, a predicted model, not a curated record